This 478-nucleotide ribosomal RNA is filed under the name uncultured bacterium. Its description in RNAcentral is "partial 16S ribosomal RNA". It matches the Rfam family "Bacterial small subunit ribosomal RNA", at positions 28 to 523 of the family's 1533-position model. The record is from RNAcentral.
GACGAACGCUGGCGGCGUGCUUAACACAUGCAAGUCGAGCGAUGAAGCUCCUUCGGGAGUGGAUUAGCGGCGGACGGGUGAGUAACACGUGGGCAACCUGCCUCAUAGAGGGGAAUAGCCUUCCGAAAGGAAGAUUAAUACCGCAUAAGAUUGUAGUACCGCAUGGUAUAGCAAUUAAAGGAGCAAUCCGCUAUGAGAUGGACCCGCGUCGCAUUAGCUAGUUGGUGAGGUAACGGCUCACCAAGGCGACGAUGCGUAGCCGACCUGAGAGGGUGAUCGGCCACAUUGGGACUGAGACACGGCCCAGACUCCUACGGGAGGCAGCAGUGGGGAAUAUUGCACAAUGGGGGAAACCCUGAUGCAGCAACGCCGCGUGAGUGAUGACGGUCUUCGGAUUGUAAAGCUCUGUCUUCAGGGACGAUAAUGACGGUACCUGAGGAGGAAGCCACGGCUAACUACGUGCCAGCCGCCGCGGUAA